Molecule: long non-coding RNA, 446 nt
Organism: Rhincodon typus (whale shark)
Lineage: Eukaryota; Metazoa; Chordata; Chondrichthyes; Orectolobiformes; Rhincodontidae
Exons: 3
Source: RefSeq, a predicted model, not a curated record
CAUUCAAUCUAGAGUGUUUUCAGGCCUUGGAUGCUGGCUAAUGAAAUGUGGCUUGGGAUGCAGUAAGAUACCCGGCUAAGGGGAAAUCUACAAUUUCAACUAUCUGUGAUGGUGAUCUGUGGUGAGAGCCUGCUGCAUCAUCUCCGAGGCGUAUAACAGGGUGCCGCUGAAACUGCCCUGAAUAACAUCCCGAUUCAUUUACAGCCAAUGUGUCCGACAGUAAUGCAAAAUGUUACGAGCAGUACUUGAAGGAUUAAAUAUACCAAAGAAAUUGAAAACAGCUUGUUCUUCAUUGUGGGUCAUUCAGCCAAUAUACCCAGCAAAUACCACUUUCACUGGUAAAGAGCUUGUGGACUACAGGUCAAACAGUACAGCUGAAUUCUAGAAAUUUAUGGUUCUGAAGAUAACACUGAAGAAAAUUAAGACAUAAACUGGUCGAGAUGAAA